UACGGGGGGGGCAAGCGUUGUUCGGAAUUACUGGGCGUAAAGGGUUUGUAGGUGGCCUGCUAAGUCAGACGUGAAAUCCCUCAGCUUAACUGGGGAACUGCGUCUGAGACUGGUAGGCUCGAGGACAGGAGAGGAACGCGGAAUUCCAGGUGUAGCGGUGAAAUGCGUAGAUAUCUGGAGGAACACCGGUGGCGAAGGCGGCAUCCUGGACCGGUAUUGACGCUGAGGAGCGAAAGCCAGGGGAGCAAACGGG
This 253-nucleotide ribosomal RNA is filed under the name uncultured bacterium. RNAcentral's name for it is "partial 16S ribosomal RNA". It matches the Rfam family "Bacterial small subunit ribosomal RNA", at positions 524 to 776 of the family's 1533-position model. The record is from RNAcentral.